GACACGCUGGCGGCGUGCCUAACACAUGCAAGUCGAACGAAGCAUAGCAAUAUGCUUAGUGGCGGACGGGUGAGUAACGCGUGAACAAUCUGCCCUGUACAAAGGAAUAGCCUCGGGAAACCGGGAUUAAAACCGUAUGACACUUUAGUAUCGCAUGAUAAGAAAGUCAAAUCGAAUAGAGGUAUGGGAUGAGUUCGCGUCUGAUUAGCUGGUUGGCGGGGUAACGGCCCACCAAGGCGACGAUCAGUAGCCGGCCUGAGAGGGUGAACGGCCACACUGGAACUGAGACACGGUCCAGACUCCUACGGGAGGCAGCAGUGGGGAAUAUUGCACAAUGGAGGGAACUCUGAUGCAGCGACGCCGCGUGAGUGAAGAAGGUCUUCGGAUCGUAAAACUCUGUCCUUGGUGAAGAAAAGGACGGUAGCCAAGGAGGAAGCCCCGGCUAACUACGUG
Molecule: ribosomal RNA, 453 nt
Filed under: uncultured bacterium
Lineage: Bacteria
Description: bacterial SSU rRNA
Rfam family: Bacterial small subunit ribosomal RNA
Source: RNAcentral